UCGAUUAGUUUGAUCAUGGCUCAGGACGAACGCUGGCGGCGCGCUUAAUACAUGCAAGUCGAGCGAGAACCAGCCCUUCGGGGCUGGGGAAAGCGGCGAACGGGUGAGUAACACGUGGGUAAUCUGCCCUCGGCACCGGGAUAGCCCGGGGAAACCCGGAUUAAUACCGGAUAGCCUCUCGAGCUCUCGAGCUCGCGAGAAAAGGUAGCUUUGGCCUCUGGCCGAGGAGGAGCCCGCGGCGGAUUAGCUUGUUGGUGAGGUAACGGCCCACCAAGGCGACGAUCCGUAGCUGGUCUGAGAGGACGAUCAGCCACACUGGGACUGAGACACGGCCCAGACUCCUACGGGAGGCAGCAGUAGGGAAUCUUGCGCAAUGGGCGGAAGCCUGACGCAGCGACGCCGCGUGCGGGAAGAAGGCCUUCGGGUUGUAAACCGCUUUCAGGAGGGACGAAGCCACUCGGGUUAAUAGCCCAGAGGGUGACGGUACCUCCAGAAGAAGCCCCGGCUAACUACGUGCCAGCAGCCGCGGUAAUACGUAGGGGGCAAGCGUUGUCCGGAUUUAUUGGGCGUAAAGCGCGUGUAGGCGGCCAGGUAGGUCCGUUGUGAAAACUCGAGGCUCAACCUCGAGACGUCGACGGAAACCAUCUGGCUAGAGUCCGGAAGAGGAGAGUGGAAUUCCUGGUGUAGCGGUGAAAUGCGCAGAUAUCAGGAAGAAUAUCCGUGGCGAAGGCGGCUCUCUGGG
Molecule: ribosomal RNA, 742 nt
Filed under: uncultured bacterium
Lineage: Bacteria
Description: bacterial SSU rRNA
Rfam family: Bacterial small subunit ribosomal RNA
Source: RNAcentral